AAAUUGAAGGGUUUGAUCAUGGCUCAGAUUGAACGCUGGCGGCAGGCCUAACACAUGCAAGUCGAACGGUAACAGGAAGCAGCUUGCUGCUUCGCUGACGAGUGGCGGACGGGUGAGUAAUGUCUGGGAAACUGCCUGAUGGAGGGGGAUAACUACUGGAAACGGUAGCUAAUACCGCAUAACGUCGCAAGACCAAAGG
RNAcentral lists this ribosomal RNA (199 nucleotides) under Escherichia coli. RNAcentral describes it as "partial 16S ribosomal RNA". It matches the Rfam family "Bacterial small subunit ribosomal RNA", at positions 1 to 207 of the family's 1533-position model. The record is from RNAcentral. Lineage: Bacteria; Pseudomonadati; Pseudomonadota; Gammaproteobacteria; Enterobacterales; Enterobacteriaceae.